AUGCUCACCCGGCAGGGGAGACACCAUGAUCAUGAAGGUGGUUUUCCCAGGGUUAGGUCCACGCAUCGAAUUCCAGGUGCACUGACACCUGCAAUUUCCCCAAACGCGGGAAACCGGACUGCGUAAUCAGUGGGGCAGGUGGGGACUGUGUUUGCACUGUUCCCUG
RNAcentral lists this small nuclear RNA (166 nucleotides) under Aotus nancymaae (Ma's night monkey). RNAcentral's name for it is "U1 spliceosomal RNA (ENSANAG00000008171.1)". It matches the Rfam family "U1 spliceosomal RNA". Rfam says of the family: U1 is a small nuclear RNA (snRNA) component of the spliceosome (involved in pre-mRNA splicing). Its 5' end forms complementary base pairs with the 5' splice junction, thus defining the 5' donor site of an intron. There are significant differences in sequence and secondary structure between metazoan and yeast U1 snRNAs, the latter being much longer (568 nucleotides as compared to 164 nucleotides in human). The record is from Rfam by way of RNAcentral. Lineage: Eukaryota; Metazoa; Chordata; Mammalia; Primates; Aotidae.